CUUCUUCAAUUUGUUGCGGACAGAUAAAGUGAAUGUGUGCAUCAAUGCCGCCAGCCGUAAGAAUCGAGCCUUCACCCGCAAUGACUUCGGUUCCGGGACCAAUAAUGAUGUCGACAUUAUCUUGCACAUCAGGAUUACCGGCUUUACCAACUUUCGUUAUCCGGCCAUUUUUAACACCCACAUCCCCUUUGACGAUGCCCCAAUGAUCUAACACAAGCGCGUUGGUAAUCACCAAGUCCACAGCGAAUUCAUUGGUUACUUGGCUUUGCCCCAUGCCAUCACG
Molecule: small RNA, 283 nt
Filed under: Marinomonas ushuaiensis DSM 15871
Lineage: Bacteria; Pseudomonadati; Pseudomonadota; Gammaproteobacteria; Oceanospirillales; Oceanospirillaceae
Description: 5' ureB small RNA
Rfam family: 5' ureB small RNA
Source: Rfam by way of RNAcentral